GCAAUGGCAGAUUGGGACCUACCACUGGAGGUAUGGGUAGCCCUGAAAUCGGAGGAAGGGGUAGCUUAGGGACGGUCACUGGAGGAACGGGUAGCUUAGGUACAGUUACCGGGGGAACGGGUAGCUUAGGGACUGUCACUGGAGGAACGGGUAGCUUGGGGACGGUCACUGGAGGAACGGGUAGCUUGGGGACGGUCACAGGAGGAACGGGUAGCUUAGGUACAGUCACUGGUGGAACGGGUAGCUUAGGGAUGGUCACAGGAGGAACGGGUAGCUUAGGGACGGUCACCGGAGGGACUGGUAGCUUAGGGACGGUCACCGGAGGAACUGGUAGCUUAGGGACGGUCACCGGAGGAACUGGUAGCUUAGGGGCUUUAGGGGAGUGCUUUCCGCCCUUCCGUGGGUUGCAAGAGCCGCAUGCGAGAGAAUGUUGGGGGAGAUAGAUAAUGCAAAUGAGGAAGAGGCAAAGAGAGAGAGAUGAGAGUUUGGAGGAGUCCAUGUUGAGUAGAGUGGAUGGUGUAACUAUACGAAAGAGUAUAUGAAUAUAUAGAGGGAAAAUGAGAAGAAGAAUUCACGUGAAGAUGGGGGCUACUUCUGCAAUAAGAAGAGACGCCCCAAAAUAAGCAUGGUUGGCAAUUAUCAUAAGAAUACAAGAUUUCCUUGAUGACCCAUCGCUAUAUAUCAUCACAUGUCGACCACACUUUUUUCACUUUUUUUUUUCUAAGUGCCUCUUGUUCUUGGGUUAACUACAACUUUUAACAACGUGUAACUUCAGUUUCAACAGUACAGUACAUUUAACUUGUAGGAAUUGUAAUGAAUCAACUUAGCGAGACUAGGUCAUUAUGAGAUAUCAUCAAUACUAAAUAACAUUUUGAUGAUGUAAACACUCUAGGAAAAGCAGAUAAUAUAGUAUCAUAUGGUUUUCGCUUUAGUGUGUGGCUUCAUAAGCAUCUCCAUGCAUGAGUCGACUGCUAAGGAACAUAUAGAUCUGCACCAUAGUGAAGACGGCUUAGUCUAUUCAAAACACUAAUGUUGUGCCUUUCGAGGACCUCCCGAGACUCGAAUUCGAAUGCACUCUCCAAAGGUAUUAUGUUAGGGAAAAAACCUUAUUAAACCAAAUAUGUUACUGUUUAACCCAUACACGAAAAUUAGAUAUAUAAAUGUUGAACAAAUAGCAUAUAGUUAUAUCCAAUAUAUACGUACAUGAGAGGUAAAGAAGACAGCAAGACUGACAUGUGAAAUUCGGGAUACACUUUUGUUGUUUGGUGAUUUUGUUACGUAGUGUCAUUAAAGAAACGAUCAUGUGUGCGUGGACCAUCUUCUUCUUUUUACCGCUCAUUUCCCUUUUUACCAUAUCUACUACAAAAGAGUCCGAACUGACCAUUUAAUGAACGAGUACCAUUCAAUUCAUAAACUCCCCGUAUCAAUCUAACUGACACUGUAAAAGUUAUAAUGUUAAUAUAUAAAAAUAAUAUGGUUAUUUAGCAUGAAUAAUAACUUUUUAUAAUUGAGAGUAUGUCUAGCUAACAUUGGUGAUUGGUGCUUACAUAAAUCAUAUUUUUCAAACCACUUAACAAGAACUUUACAUAUUCAAUGAUAAACGAAUCACAUUUAUACAAUAUACCAUUCAAAAAUAAUAUUGUAAGAUGAUUUGAAAUUAAACGAUUGUAAUAUAUAAUGUGUUAAAAGUAAUGUAUUAUAGAUAUCUUGUAAUUAUUUAAAGGGUUUUGUGCAAAAAAAAAAACCACUAACUCAUACAUUUUUCCAAUUUACUAUCCAGCUCUAAUAAAUGCACAUUAAUCCUAUGAAUCUAAAAUAAUACGCAUUGUAACCCUUUUUGACCAUUUUUUGCUACCAUCAAUUUUGUAAAAUAUUGAUAUAUAAUAUGUUAAAUCAAAGCUCUCGCGACCAAGAGUUCAACUCUACCUUUAAAAAUUUUAAAAUGUAAUGUAUGUAACCGUAAAAACGCUUGUAAUAUGCAUAUGAAAUUUAUAUUACAUAUUAUGUUAAACUUCAUAAGAUUAAUCUGCAUUUGUUGGUAGUGCAUUUGUUAGAGGUGGAAGGUAAUGUUGCAAAAAUAGAUGAGUUAAAAGAUUUCUUUUUGCACAAAACCCUUUAUUUAAACUACUAACAAUAUAAUAUAUAAAUAAUUUAAAACAUAUAUCUCUAUAAUUCAUGAAGUAAUAAUGGUGUACCCUAUCCUUACCAACGAAUAAUAAAGAAAUGAUAUUAACUCUGAUUCAAAAGCUAUAUAUAAGAUAUUCUUUUUUUUUCCUCGGGAGGGAUACGAAUCCGGUAACAUGAAUCAGUGUCCAAUAAGAGCCAGUGGUCGUAAAUUCCAAAUGACAGAUGGAUGACUCAUUUUAAUUCGUAACUUUUGUCAGCUGCGAUAUAUGCUAAUGAAACCUGAGGUGCUAGAUUUUGAUUUUAAUGGCUUUAGAUUCUUACUCAACACUCAAUGGCCCACUCGUUAAUCUCUUACCUUCUAAAGUGAGUUAUGAUCCACUGCUUCUUUCUUCUUGUAGAUAGAUGGACCUGUUUUUUUUAGGUUGUGAUUUGUGGACAUUAAUCAACAACCCAUGUUUAUACGUGAUAAUGUCUGGAGCUAUAUGUAAAGGCGAUAUGGAGGACAACAUUCCUCUAUUCUAACUUUAAAAGCCAUGUAGUUAGGGCUGGACACCAAUAUUCUUUUUUUUUUUGCUAAAUUGUAAAUAUCAUUUUGAUGAAAAAUCAGGUUUUACAACAGUUGUAUAACCUAAAACAUUUGAACUCUUUGGCAAAAAAGAAUAAAAAAACGAAGAGCCAAUCGAGAGCUGCAUAGAACUCGGUAGUUUCAUAGCAGCCACAACGCUAUUAACUUGCGAAAAAGGAGUCUGUUUCUUCUUGAGGUGAUAACGUUUUUGAUUUUGCGGUUGAUGCACUUGAAUAUAGAAUGCGGAGAGAGGGAAGUAGCGUUGUGCAGGACAUUGUUAGGCUGCUUCAAGAUGUGGAAGACCUUAGACUGAACGACAAUAAUUUUAAGAACUGAUGAAGCCAAUAUUCAUCAUUUUCAAACAAAAAAUAUCUUUUGUUUGACACCAAUAUCCUUGACCAGCUUCAAACAAAGGAUAUACAUCAUUUUUAAGUCGGGUAAGGCAAAUGAGUAUAAGGAUUCUCAUUACACAUCUGGUUGCCAAAAACUUUUAGUCAAAUACUAGUUACAAUCUCAGUUUUUUACCCCAAACUUUUUGCCACUUAAAAAACUAGGGGUGGGCAUUCGGGUAAGCGGGUCGGGUUCGGGUUCGGGUAAAACCCGAUCAGGUAUAAAGAAGUUUAGGAUCUAAUAGGGUAAAUCUAAAAUAUCGGUUCGGUUUCGAUUCGGGUCCAACCGGGUUCGGAUAUAGAUUUGUGGCCUUUUUUUAUCCAGAUUUUUCGGGUAAAAUUUUGGAUUUCGGAUAAAAUUUAGAUUUUUGAAUAAAAUAUUUGGGUAUUUUCGGGUUCGAGUUUGUUUUUUCGGGUAGAGAAAUUUAGGAUCCAGUAAAGUACAUCUUCGGAUUUGGAUUAAGUUUCAGCUCUAAUUUUUCGAGUUAGUUUCGGUUCGGAUAAUCGGUUCUGGUUUUUUGGCCCGGCUCUAUAGAAAACCAUCAAUAAAUAUUUUAAUCCUAUUUCUGCCUCAUUACUCGAGAAAAUAUUCGACCCGUUUUAUUACUUGAUAAAUUUACAACUAUAUAUUUAUGUAAUCUAUUUCAUAUUAGUAAAAUAUAUUAAAUUUGUUAUUAAAACCAAAUAUCUUUUGAGAUUAGGGCAAUCAAAAGUUAAGGUCAAGCAAAUGUCUCCUUUCUAAAUGUUUUUGUGGGUAACGGUAAAGGACAAAUAUACAGCCCAUGCCCAGACCUACAAGUAGCGACUCCAUUACUACACAGUAAGAUUUUUAUUAAUAAAAAUGUGCAUGGUUUCAUUUAAAAGUCAUUGCUAACACUUCACUUUACAGUAAUAUUCAAUUUCAUACCUUUAAACGUUAAUCAGAAUCGCCAAUUGGAAGCCAGUCACUGGAAUCACCUUCCGAAUCCUUGCUAUGUCCAACUUGGCUCUUGCUGAGCUGAACCCAGCUUGACCCGCUUGCGUUUGAUGCUGGUCUUUUCAGUGUACUCCUGUUGGGACUUGGCUUCUCCGAGAGAUCAUCGACAUCUAAAUCACUAAAGGAGAUUACCUCUUCAUCUCUGAAACUCCUCCGUUGUUCUUCAGAUGACUCAUCACUUAUCUCCCUUUGCUCAAUUUUUAGAGUCUCUAUCUUGUCAAUGACUCCCUCAACGGUUUCUGUUUCCCUACUGCUACCUUCUUCAGGAGUUUCGUGACCAGUAGUGCUCUUGCUUGACCCUGUCUCUUUCUUUUGCAGCUUUAGUAAAAGUUGAUCCCUUGUUUCAAAUACCUGUGCCGCACAAUAUAGUUAUUAAAGUUUCAGAAAUAGGUACAAUAGUAACUUGGGAAAAAAUGCAGAGCAUAAAAGAUAUAAAACAAUCCAAUUUUAAAAGCAUCAGGCAAAAAUACAUUUUUUCCUGAGGCUAUACUUGUUCUUAUUGCAAUCGGUUGAAGGGGUCAUUAUAGCAUAAACGUUUACGAUUUUAAUAAUAUUGGAUCAAUACUGACAUUUCAGAAGAAUGUAUUUCCAGUAUACAGUCUUACCUUGCAUGUUGCUAAGAGUUCAAAAUCAUGCCCAUUCAGUCUCGGCAUCAGCAAAAUAAAAUAAAUCAGCCAGAAGUGUUCAUCAUCCAUGUAACUACUAACUUGAUUCUUCACAGCUACAAGGCCAGGAACCAAAUCUUCAAUGGCUGAUGCAUGUGCCCUUUGAGCCUCAGACAGUUCAAAUUCUGCAAUGUGGACAUGAAAAGUUGGAGAAAAACUUCAGCAUAAUUCAGUAGGUAAAAUUGAUGUAAACCACCAAUGCUUUUUAUCAGGAAGUGUUUCGACAACAUUUUCAAGCAAACCAAGCCUAUAUACAAAAGGUUGUACAGGAUGACGAUAUGCUUCGCAAUAAAAUAAAUAAAAAGAUUUAAGUGGCAUAUGGAUUGAACUAUAUAUAUAUAUAUAUAUAUAUAUAUAUAUCCCAAGAAGAGACUGCAGACCCCGUCAAGUUUAUUCGUAAUUCCUGGAGAUCUAUCUAAAGAACAGGGACUUCAAAAAAAAAAAUUAACUGCAGAAACAAUCAAUCUUGUCCAAACAGGUCUAGAAUAAAACACAUCAAGAGUUAAAGACUGAAGCAUAAUCAUCUUUGGCGACUGAAAACAAGUCAACUAUAUUUCCAAGAACAAUCAUGUUUAUUCCUGCAUGGCUGCAAGUUCGUCGACAAUAUCUUCAAGGUAUGAAAAAUGUGAUCUACAGAGAGUAAUGGGACCCCGAGAUCCUAAAGACCUGAGCUUGAAGAAAUAUAUCCCAAGAGGAGAUGGCAGGACCGGUCUAACCUAAUCUAAAAUACUAGGAAAUCUCUCUAAAGAACACCAGAGGCUACAAGCAAUCAACUGUACAAACAAAAAAAAUAUUUUCCUAAUAAAUCACAGUAAGAAAAUCAUAACUAAACAUAGAUAGUUAGAAACCACCAAUGCGGUGCUUCGACUAUACUUUCAAACUAACAAAGCCUAUAUACUGGGAACAAAAAUAUGCUUGAAGAAAUAUGUCCAAAUAAGCUUAAUCUGUAACCCUAGUGAUCCCACUAGAAAGCCAAUCAACUGUAGAAGCAAUCAAUCUUUUCCAAAUAAAACCUAUUUUAGUAACAAUUAUGUUUGCCUACUGGGAAAAAAAAAAGUCAAUGCAGAGCUUAAGACUAUUGAGAAUCAAGCUUUAUGAUUCCUCUAUUGACUAUACAGGAGCAUUACCAGUAUCGAGUGACAAUGGAAAAUCUGUCCAACAACCAGGUUUCGUCGAGAUUUUAACAGCGAAAUCGACUACUUCUUCAGAGAUUCCAGGAACUUGAUCGUUCAACGGAGAUCUUCUACUACUUUCUCUAUCUCUUAGAUUACUAGGAAAUUGGAGUAAAUUAGAUGCGAAAUUGGAGAAAUUUCCACGAAUCUCGGCUAGAUCGUUGCGGAUCCCGAGAAGACCUAGCUGAGUUGGUGAAUUAUCAGAGGAGAGUCGGCGUUCGUUUACAGGUGGAGAAGGAGGCGGUGCCAGGAAAGCUGCGACGCCACGGAGUAAGGAAGAUAAAUCUUCUUUGACACCGCCAUGAGUUGUGGAAGGAUCGGGAUCGGGAUCGUGAUCGUCAUCGCCGCGAGAUUUGAAGAGCCAAGACAUGGUUUUUGAGUGAGAGAGGUUGGAUUUGGGGUUUUCAGUUUUUUUUGCACGGGGUUACGAAUAGCAAGAGAGAAGAAACGGUACGUUUUAAUACCUUUCCAAAACGCACCGUUUGUUGUUUGUUCGUUUUGAUACCUUCCCAAACGUGAAAUAAACGAACAAUAAUUAUACAAAAUAAACGGAAACAAAACCUACUUUUUAAAACGGGAAAAUAUCGUUUUAUACGUGAUGUUUUUAAGAAUGGUCAUUUUAUAUGUAAACUUUUAGAUCGAUCAAAUAAAAUAUGAUAAAAAUGUUGAUCCGCUAUUUAAACAAAACAUAAAGUUUGCCUGGCCAAAAUUUCCGAAAUGUUAACUUGUAUUAACGGAUCUGAUAACCCUCGUUAGCAGACGUUAGUCGUCUUCCGUUAAUACCAAACGAUUUUUUGUGAUGAGUACAAACCUUAAAAUUCCCAAAUCGAUUUUUCAUUCCCUAAUUCUUCAUAAUCCCCAAAAUUUGAACUAUUCUCGAUAUAUUUUUUUUGAGCUCAAAAUCUCCAUUUUGUGUAGAUAUGAGUUUAAAAAAUUUGAGUGUUCAAGAAGGAGGAAGUGGGAACCUUGGGUUUCCUUCAAAGUGUCAUUGGGGGAGAGAUUUCAUCAUCUAUAUAUCAAGCUCGACGAAGAACCCAAGAAGAUCCUUCUUCUGUUGUCCAACAUAUCAAGAUGUAAGUAGAUUUGAAUUUGUUUUUUUUGGUGUUUGAUCGGUAAAAAGUUGUCGUUGUAAAUGCAGGACCAUUUGUUUAAGUGAGUCGAAGAUUGUGUGUAUGAAGAGGUUGUAGAUGCAAUACUGAUAAUCUCUAUGAUUGAUAGCUAGAUAAACAAUGUCAAAUUUCAGGUUGUAGUCGAGAUUGCAGAAUUAAAGGUUUUGAUCCAAGAAUUGAAGGAAGAUGAAAUGUGGAGCAAAAUGGAAUUGAAGAUAUGGAAAUCGAUGACCAAAUUGUGCUUGGUGUGCCUUUGUAUAACAGUCAUUGCAAUUAUGAUCAUAAUGUUCUAUAAGACCAAAAACCAUAAGCUUGUUCUUGGUUACUAGUGUUUUGUGUUUGUAAUAAAAUGUUUUUAUGGUACUGAAAUGUUUGUUUGGCAAUGAUAAUCAGUCCUAGUGUUUUGUCUUAGUGUUGUGAUUGUAAUGAAAUGCUACUAGAUGCUUGUUUAACAAUGAGAAUCACCAAAAUGAAACUCAUUCAUACAUUAUAAAACUUGUGUCACAAAGACAAGUCGAAACCACAAAAUGAAAUCGAUACUAAGCUUAUGUCAUAAAGACAAAUCCAUUAUGUCAACCACCAAAAAUAAACUUAUGAGAAAGCUUAAGUUCAAACAACAACAAAAAGAAACUUGUGACUAAUCUUGUCUUGAACACUCAAACCAUGAUGCAAAUCCACCAAGUCCUUGUGGUUGAGCAUGUGGCUCAGUUUGUGCUUGUGCUUGUGGUUCUGUUUGGGAUUGUACUUGUGAUGCUCCACCUGUCUCCCUUGGUCUUUCUGAUGUUCCGCCUGUUGCCCUUGGUCCUUGUGAUCGAAUAUGAGAUUGUGAUCCUUGAUGAGGUUGUGAUCCGUGUAUUUGCUCUUGCGAUUCGAGCACUUGAGAUCGUGAUCCUUAAUGAGAUUGUGAACUUUGAUGAGGUUGUGAUCUUAGCACUUGUGAUUCCUCCUAAGUUAAAUAUGACAGUCUGAACAGUUGCAUGAUUAAGUGAGUUGUAAAACAUAUAAAAAAAAACAAGAAUACAAACCUGAUUUAUUCGUGGAUGACCUCUUGGUCUCUUUGGUGGAAUCAGAAUAGUGGCAUUUUUGCAGCUUUGCUUGUUUGCCCUUGUUGAAGGCAGUUAGAGCAUGUCAUGAUUCUCUUUUGCAGUGGCAUCUUGUUCUUAUUUGAAGAAGAAGAAGUCUCAUUUCUUCCUUUUCUCCUAACAUAAUUACUCGGUCUUCCAACAUUUCCUUUUGUCCAUGGUGGUGGCAAAACAGGGAGCCUAUUGGUUUUAGGCCACAAUGGCAUACCUUGGACAAGGCUAAUACCAUCUUUAUAAGUUUUUCGCCAGAUUACCUUUGUGUAAAACUUGCUCACAUAGUCUGCAACUGUUUCUCUUCUUCCUAUUAUCACAGGUGUCGCAUAAAUACAUGGGAUCCCCACCAUCUACCACUUCCUGCGACCACAAGUUCUCUUCUCCGUAUCAACAUAGUAGCUAACACCAUUCACAUCAAUUUGAUACAAAUUGUUUCUGGACAUAUAUCUCUCGCAAUUUCUAACCCCAACUAUCAUUUUCUCAAUCUCAAGAUGGGCUCUCUUUGUGAACCUUGUCUUCAAUUUGUCAGCAAUGAUAUACGUCUUCGUAGUUAUGACCAUGCAUUACCUCUGGAUGUACUCUAGCUAAUCCAACAAAGGCUUUCUCCUAGCCUGUUUAAUAGUCUUAUUAAAAGACUCACACUGAUUAUUGAGGCUGUCAUUGCAACGUGUCCAAUUCUAAAGAAGGCUCUCGACCAUGUCAUUGGACUAGUAAGUUGCGAGUGGCAUGCGCAUGAGGAUUGUAUCUCUUUAGCUCUUCCAUAUUAUUCAUGAACACUUCUUCAGUGUAGCUUCAAAUUGUUUUUCAAAGAGACAUUGUAGUUCUAUCUCAUGGUUGUCUCUCUUCCAAUUGUCCAUUAUAUGCCUUGAAUAUUGUCGAUGCUCAACUUCUGGAAGUAUGGUAUUGAUAGCUUUGACUAGACCCUGUAAAAUAACACAAAAACAUAAGCGUAAACCCUUCAUAAAAGACAUUAAACUGAAGCAAAAGAUGAUAAAAUUAACUGAUUAUUUAUCUGAAAUGAUAACUAGAUGUUGCAUUUCACAGUCCCAAACUAGUAGAGAGCUGUCUCAAAAACCAGUCCCAAUUAUCAUUGUUUUCUAUCUCAACAACUGCCCAAGCUAUAGGAACAAUCCUCUUAUCUCCAUCUCUUCCAACUACAGCUAAAAGGUGACCUUUUACAUCCCAUUUUAGAAAACCCAUCUAUUCCUAUCACAGGUCUACAAGUUCGCUUCCAAGAAUCCUUUUGAGAUUUAAAGCAGAUAUAGCACCAGAGAAAAGAAUCCUUUUGUGAUAUAAAGCAGCUAUAGCAUCAGAGAAACCUUUGCUUGCUUCCAAUAAAAAGCCCUACUGUUGUCUCUAUCUCAAACUCUGUCUCUGGGUUCUACUUUAAAACCUCCGCUUGAUAAUCUCAUAUUCUUGAAAAGUGAUCAUUAUGAGUAGCAUGUCAUGCUUUCAACACUUUGGUCUUGGCCUUUGCACAUUGGUCUGGAGUCACAUCCAAAUUGAAUUCUCUCUGAAUCUCAACAACCAUCUCGUUCUUUGAAAUAUUUGGAUUCACUCUCAGCCUUUCAUCAAACAAAAGUGCAAUGGAAGACCGCUUCAACAUCUUUGAAUAUCCUGACCUAACACAAGUAUGCAUAUAAAAUCUUACUUGCAUCUUAUGUUUUGUCUUCUCAUACGAACAAUAUACUUUCCAACCACAUUUAACACCAUCAACACCAAUUUAUGACCACUUCGCAGCAACAACCAUAGAUUCAGACCCAUAAAGAGAAAUGGUAUACCAUGUCUUUAAAGAGUACAUCAAAAGAACACGCUUGAAGUCGUGUUUAUAUCCUCUUCACCGCGUAAACCACCAUUAUAAUCGUUAUCUCCACCACCAACCACAUCAUCAACGACAUUGCAGUCUUCAUCACCAUACACGGCGCAGUCUUCUUCAUUUUUCAGGGUCAGGCUCAAAUGUAGGUUCUUCAUCCUCCUCUUUUUAAUGUCUGACUCUUCUUCGUUUUUGUUUUCAAAGCCGCUUUGAAACUCGAGCUUUAACUACGAUAGAAGACUCUACUACGCCUACAGCCGGCAGAGCUAGAACUCCGUUAUCAAACUCUAAAACUGCUUCCGCUGGUGGAGCUCGAACAACAUCUUUGGUGUCAUCUUCGCCUCGUGGUGGAGCUUCAUCAUUGUCUAAUUUGCCUUCCAUUGAUACAAUCUAGGACUCCAAGGAUACAAAUUCAAGAUGAAAUCAAAUCAAAAUCGCGAUUUCGCCAAAGUAAGAAUUAGGGAUUUGGUUUUUGGAAAUUAGGGAUUUUGAAAUCAAAAUGGGAAUUUCUGUUUCAGUUUAUGAAACGACAUUGUUUUAGGCAUUAACAGAAAAAAUUAACGUCUGCUUACAGGGGUUAUCGGAUCUGUUAAUGCAAGUUAACGUCUCGGGGAUUUUGGUCAGGUCAACUUUAUGUUUUGUGUUAAAUGGCGGGUCAACGUCUUUAUCAUGUUUUAUUUGGCCGACCUAAAAGUUCACGUAUAAAAUGGCCACUUUUGAAAGUUCACGUAUAAAACGACAUUUUUCCCUUUUCAAAAACCUAAUUUAUUUCGCAUAAUUAUUGUUCGUUUUGAAAAGUAGGUUUUGAUUUAAUAUUAAAUUUAUUCGGGGAAAAAGAAUUAUACAUUUACAAGUAGGAAAAAUGGGUAAAAAAAACCUCACCUUUCCCAAAUACAUUUAAAAAAACCUCAACUUUUUGUAGGUUUUUAAACCCUCACCUUUUCAAAAAUGGUAAAAUAACAAUUAGCAUUAUUAAACCAAAUAAAUACAAAUUAAAUACUAAAUAAACUAUUAUAUUAAGACAUAAAAAACAACAUAAUUUAUAAUCUAUCUUUUCCAAAUUUGAGUUUAGGAUUUUUUUUCUUCUAGAAUUUAGUUGUUUUUUGUGAUAUAAAAAAUAAGUUUCAUUGCCAUUAGAAAUUGGUAUGUAAACUAAAACAAUUUAUAACAUAGCACAUUUUAUUUUAUUUGUGUUCAACUAUGUUCUAACCUUUGAAGUUUUGGAUUUAAAAUGGAUAAAAUUUAUUAACACAAAUUUGAUCUAAACUUGAGUGACCUAAUAUUUGUUCUAAACUUGUGUGAUCAAAACUUUAUUCUAAACUUAAGUGUCCAAACCAAAUAAAAUUUUAUUAAAUAUAUUUUAUAUUUAGUUAUUACAAAAUUAGUUUAGUUUUACGUUGAUGAAUUUCUUGAACUCAACCAAAUUAAUCUUGUUUCAGUUCACUGCAUAUGUAGAAGAAUAUAUAUCUAUAUAUAUAUACAUAUAUCAUACCUAAAAUAAAAUAAUUAUUUUUAUCCAAAAUUUAAUUAAACUUACACUCGAAACAAAAUAAAUAAACUUUGAAUAGACUUUGGAUAUGUUAUCUUCAGUAUGAAACCAAUUGUCUGAACCAAAUUUAAAUUGUUUUCACAUAAAACAUUUUACUAGAAGAAAAUAUUUAAGAGCUAUGUCUUUGGUUAGAUUAGAAUCGACAUAUUUCGUUUUCAAGAUUGUUUAGUGGUAGUUUGUUGUUUUGCGUCAAGUUUUUUUUAAUGUUUUCUUUUCCUAUUUUUGUCGGGUUCAUCUCUUGCUUUUGGACCGGUCAAUCUAUAACUUUUCACCUUUAUAAUAAUAGGUAAAGCGGUUGUGUGACUCUUUCAUUUUCCUCUACUCAAGUUUAAGACUAAAUCUGGUCAAAUUUUUAUUAGACUAGUUAUGAUGGU
RNAcentral lists this long non-coding RNA (11815 nucleotides) under Arabidopsis thaliana (thale cress). RNAcentral's name for it is "long non-coding RNA (ATHA_LNC000689)". The record is from RNAcentral. Lineage: Eukaryota; Viridiplantae; Streptophyta; Magnoliopsida; Brassicales; Brassicaceae.